Molecule: long non-coding RNA, 247 nt
Filed under: Brassica napus (rape)
Lineage: Eukaryota; Viridiplantae; Streptophyta; Magnoliopsida; Brassicales; Brassicaceae
Description: long non-coding RNA (BNAP_LNC027048)
Source: RNAcentral
AACUUUGAAGGGACAUCGUACCUCGAUGCCUCCGACUUCGCAAAUGAGUUGGACUAGAUUUCUCCUGAAGAGAGCCGAAAUGCUUAUAAUAAGACUAUUGAAUAGUUUUCAAUAUUGUCAUGUAUAAUUAUUACAUUUCCUGUUUUAAACAAAUAAUGAUGUUUCAACAUCACUUUAAUGUAUAAUUAUUGUGUGUUUCCUUAUAUAAUUAUUAUAUGAAUGAAUUUUAUGUCUUCUUUUGAUAAUA